GAUGAACGCUGGCGGCGUGCCUAAUACAUGCAAGUCGAGCGAACAGAUAAGGAGCUUGCUCCUAUGAAGUUAGCGGCGGACGGGUGAGUAACACGUGGGUAACCUACCUAUAAGACUGGGAUAACUUCGGGAAACCGGAGCUAAUACCGGAUAACAUUUAGAACCGCAUGGUUCUAAAGUGAAAGAUGGUUUUGCUAUCACUUAUAGAUGGACCCGCGCCGUAUUAGCUAGUUGGUAAGGUAACGGCUUACCAAGGCGACGAUACGUAGCCGACCUGGGAGGUGUGUCGGCCAAACUGGAACUGAGACACGGUCCAGACUCCUACGGGAGGCAGCAGUAGGGAAUCUUCCGCAAUGGGCGAAAGCCUGACGGAGCAACGCCGCGUGAGUGAUGAAGGGUUUCGGCUCGUAAAACUCUGUUAUUAGGGAAGAACAAAUGUGUAAGUAACUGUGCACAUCUUGACGGUACCUAAUCAGAAAGCCACGGCUAACUACGUGCCAGCCGCCGGCCGUAA
Molecule: ribosomal RNA, 514 nt
Filed under: uncultured bacterium
Lineage: Bacteria
Description: partial 16S ribosomal RNA
Rfam family: Bacterial small subunit ribosomal RNA
Source: RNAcentral